UAAUAGUUUAAACGUGUUGUUUAAUCCUGGGUGUGGGUGCUGCUGGUCGUCUCUCCGGCUUGACUUUGUAGAUACGAUGACAGAUCCAGUUGCUUGUGUUGGUUACUGUUGUGUUGGAGAGGAAGACUGUUGCUGCACCAGAUAUUAGAACUACACACCAGUGAUGGUCGAGGUCACCUUAUAUGUUGACACUUGACAUUACUCAAGCUCGUCAAUUUGUCAAUUUCAUGAGAAUGAUUUGACGGUGGAGGAUGCAAGGAAAGAUAAGUGGGGAAUGGACAUGUGCUGCACCAGAGACAACUGACACAGUACAAUGGACUGCUGUUGACUCCCCUUAAACGUCAGUCUGAAGAUUUGUGGAUGGUCCUGUUACCAAGUUGUACAGUACCACUGAGGUGCUGGACUGCUGUGCUGACUACUGCCCUGGACUUCUGUGCUGACUACUGCCCUGGGCCGCUGUGCUGACUGCUGCCCUGGACCGCUGUGCUGACUGCUGCCCUGGACCGCUGUGCUGACUGCUGCCCUGGACUGACUACUGCCCUGGGCCACUGUGCUGUCUGCUGCCCUGGACUGCUGUGCUGACUACUGCCCUGGGCCACUGUGCUGUCUGCUGCCCUGGACCGCUGUGCUGACUACUGCCCUGAGCCACUGUGCUGUCUGCUGCCCUGGACUGACUACUGCCCUGGGCCACUGUGCUGGCUACUGCAAUAUUAAUUUAUAAAGACAUUUUACUUAACAUGUCAUUAAUAAAAAUAUAAAUGUUA
Long non-coding RNA from Homarus americanus (American lobster), 764 nucleotides. RefSeq lists it as uncharacterized. NCBI's taxonomy places the organism in Eukaryota, Metazoa, Arthropoda, Malacostraca, Decapoda, Nephropidae. The record is from RefSeq and is a predicted model, not a curated record. The transcript is spliced from 4 exons.